AUGCUCAAAAUUACUCUACAAGACACUUUUUACUUUUUCCCAUAAUAUUGAAGUUGCUGAUAAUUACCAAAAUGACACCGCCACUUUUUUGCUUUUUCCCCCAAUUCGUAUGUUUCGUACGUUAAUUUUAUUUCUAUUUGAUCCUUUACCGAAAGAACAUCAAGAUAUUAUGUUCUAUGAUGUAUUUGAAUUUAUAUUCCUAAUUGAAUUGU
This 212-nucleotide long non-coding RNA is filed under the name Helianthus annuus (common sunflower). Its description in RNAcentral is "hypothetical non coding rna". Lineage: Eukaryota; Viridiplantae; Streptophyta; Magnoliopsida; Asterales; Asteraceae. The record is from RNAcentral.